Molecule: non-coding RNA, 72 nt
Organism: Podarcis lilfordi (Lilford's wall lizard)
Lineage: Eukaryota; Metazoa; Chordata; Lepidosauria; Squamata; Lacertidae
Source: the annotation of a GenBank genome assembly
UAGAUAGCUCAGUUGGUAGAGUAUGGUGCUGAUAAUGCCAAGGUUGCAGGUUCUAAUCCCCAUAUGGGAUAA